RNAcentral lists this unclassified non-coding RNA (276 nucleotides) under Melitaea cinxia (Glanville fritillary). RNAcentral's name for it is "misc RNA ENSMCXG00005003360.1". The record is from RNAcentral. Lineage: Eukaryota; Metazoa; Arthropoda; Insecta; Lepidoptera; Nymphalidae.
UUUUUUUUUUUCGUAAAUCUGUACCUCUACUAAUUCUUAGCAAAAAUAUUCAAUAUAUUAUGUUUUGAAAUAAUUUUAGCGAUAUGUUAGCGUUAAAUAUUUGAACAUAAAAUGAAUUUUAUAUUCGUCAAUGGCUUAUUAAUAUUCGUGUGUUGUUGGCACAGCGCCCUUUCCUUUCGCUUCUCGGUCGUAUCCGAAAUCUCGCGCACCGACCACACCAGCUCGCCGCACUCCUUCAGUACCGGGGCCGGUAGAGCAGGGCCCUCCCCGGCGCGG